This 1159-nucleotide long non-coding RNA is filed under the name Homo sapiens (human). Its description in RNAcentral is "HSALNT0162269". Lineage: Eukaryota; Metazoa; Chordata; Mammalia; Primates; Hominidae. The record is from RNAcentral.
GAAACUUAAAUCCUCAGGGUGAUACAACUCAGUCCUUCUACUGCAGCAGCUCUUUUAUAAAUGCCUCCCAAAGCUCCAAGAAGGAACAAAGAAUGUGACCAGUAAGCUCACACCAUGAGUCUAUAUUGCAGAAUAUAGACUUUGUUCAACAAAACUGCAGAUGCUCUGUUGAAUCCACUGGAGAUUGUCCUGAUACUAAGGACAAGUAUCUGCUCCUAUCAGUGACAAAUCAGCGUAUUAGAACAUGUAUGCUGGCUGAUCAUUCUGAUCAAGUCAACAAGCUUCACAACUUACUCAAUGAGGUCGUCCGUGAGAACUUCACUGUUUUACCAGGACAGGAGCUACUUCUUUGCUGAACUGCAUCACGGUUUCAACUGCUGAGGUUUUCUUCAAGCUUUUGCAUUGUUUGGAAUGUGAAAGGCACGGCUGAGACACACUUCGGCAUUCCCACUGCAUUGUUACACCUCCCCCAUCACUUCAGGUCCAGGUAACACCAAGGACGCCAUGAUGGCACAUGCCUGUGGUCCCAGCUACCCCGGAGGCUGAGGCAGGAGAAUUGCUUGAACCGCGGAGGCAGAGGUUGCAGUGAGCCGAGAUCACGCCACUGCACUCCAACCUGGGUGACAGAGUGAGACUCCUUAAAAAUAAAUAAAUAAAUAAUAAAUAAACAAAUAAAUAAUUUAAAAAAGUCAUUGCUUUAUUUUUAAAAAAGUAAUAGUUUCAAAAUGUAUACAUGUAAAAUCUAACUGGGAAUACUUUGUACCUACUUGUAGCCCAAGAUUAAGUUUAUUCUCAAUUACUAGGAGGUUUGCACAAUAGAGUACAUAUUUAAUCUGUAUGACUAAAAGCCUCAUUGUCAAUGUGACUGUGUCAUCAUUAUCACAUUUGUGAAUCUCCUGAUUAUAACUUUCACAGAUGGUCUAUCUACAGGGUUCUGGGAUAAGAAACUUGCUGUCUGUCUACAGAGGAAGCUGUUUUCACUUCCAGAUAGUUCUGAAUAUUUGAAAGUACUUGCUGAUUCAGAGUCAAAUUAUGUCUUGCUGUAACAUCCACAAUUUCUGAACUUACAUUUGAGAUAAACCAAGAUUAGACUAAACCAUGCCUUCAAGUGACAGACUCUCAAAAAUGUGAUGCAUUUUUUUUCAAAAAAAACUGCACG